Non-coding RNA from Equus caballus (horse), 3230 nucleotides. The record is from RefSeq and is a predicted model, not a curated record. NCBI's taxonomy places the organism in Eukaryota, Metazoa, Chordata, Mammalia, Perissodactyla, Equidae.
AUCGGGCGGGCGGGGGAUCCAGGUGGGAGCCUUGUUUGACCACCUGCAUAGGCAUGGCCCAGAAAGACACACAUUCAGGAGGAAGUGGCCCUGGGGACGGCUGGGCUGUGAAAAGCGAGGUUGAAUUCCUGGACGUGACGGAGGCGGGCUGCCCCAUGACCCAGGGAACUCAGAAGCCAGAUGGUCCAUCCAAUGCCAUGUGUCGUCAGGUUGUGGAGGAGCAGGGGCUGAUCUGCUCACCAUCAGAUAAGAUGUCCUUUCCUUGGUGGCCCAGAUGUGUGGUACUGAGAAGUUCUCGUGGGAACAAUGUCCAUUUGGUUUCCUGUGAGUGAAUGGAUUUUUAAAAGGUCCCCUGUACCAAGAUUUUGUUUUAAUAAAUCCAUUGUUAGAGAUUAUUUUCACAGGCUAUGAGAAUGAGAAAUAGAGUCCUUUGAAGUCAACAGUAAAGAGAAGCAUCAAUUGGAGCCCACACCGCACUCUUCUUAUACAAAAAGCCCCCAGUUGUAUAUUACUCUGCAUCUGGCUGUUUUCCUGGAACCAUGUUUCCUACAGGCUGGCCCGGAUUCCUCCCUCCCAGCAACGGAGCAGAUUGCUGGACCCCACGGAGCGUUGGGAAAAUCUUUGGGAGAUUUCCAGUCACAAGCCGAUGCGGGAGAUGAAGCCGCCAGAACCGCUGAUCACUGGCAGGCUGGCCCUGAACUGCGCGCCCCGCCCUCCGCUGGCCGCUUGGCACACACGGCCGGUCCUCCAGCUGGUGAGUCACUGGACACUUAUUCAUCACACAGCAGGCAGCGGAAGGUGCCAGAAGGGUGUGCCGGGCAAGGAGCUGGGCCGGUCCUGCAGCCCUGGGUGCUGGUGAGUCACUGCUGCCAGGCGCUGAGCCGGGUGCCGAGGGAGGCAAGGCCCUGGCCAAGAAAGGCCAAGGCUGGCAUCUGUUUCUGCUCCACCCUCGCUGGGGGGGCCGGCAGGCGGGGGAGCAGGACCUCUCCUCUGUGUGCCCUCCAUCCUGCUGUCCCUGCCAGUGCAUACACAUGCACGUGAGCACAGUGUAACAGCACACACGUGCGCACAUGCACACACAUACACACACACACACACACACACAUGUACACGCACUAGCUAAUUCCAAGCACGUGAUCAGACGCAGAGCGGCUGCAGGUUAGGACACAGGCCUUGGAGGCUCACCUCCCUGCUCCUUCGAGGUGAACGGAGCUGCAAGUCCCCCCCCACUGCUUCCGGGGAGACCUCCUCCCACCUGCCCCGGCCCUCCAGGCAGCCCGGCCCGGCCCCAGCCCUGUGCCAGCACCGGAGGGCGGGGCCCAGUUCAGGUAGGAAGUCAUCAGCCCUGGGCUCCAACCCUGCCUCCACUGCACACACCCGACCCGGGGCCUCAGUUUCCUCUCCUGGCACGGGGCCAUCUGAUGCUGGUAGAAGUUCCCCAUUCUCAGGGAGCACUGCCGGGGCUGGUGGGAGCACCAGGCAUCACGCCAGCGAUUUCAGGGGUUCUGGCCCGAAGGACCCUCUGGGCCUCUCAAGCCUCCCGAUCCUGCCUGUGGAAACCUGGGUCCCCGCAGAUGGUCCGCAGCCCUCUGCUCCGACUCAAAGGUACCGCCUUAGCAGCUCCUCGCGUCAAGGACAUCAAUGGCUCACACAGGCCUCCUGAAAAGCAUGUCCUUUGCCAGCAACCCCAGGACAGACCCCUCGGCUGUCCCCAAGGCAACAGACUGCAAAAGGUGCCCACCUGGCCGCCGGCGUUGCGACCCUGGCCUUCCCUCCCGGCUCCUUGCCCCUGCCGCUGCCUCCUCUAAUUAGCUGGACAGGCUCUCCCAUCCGCUCCCGGCCGCCUGUCUCGCUUCGGCCGGCACGCACGGUCCCGGUUAAAUUGGCUGUGGCAGGCCGUAAUAAAGAAGAAAACAGCGGCUGCAUCAGGCUGUUCCGAGGAGCCGCCGAUGCUCACGCGGGAAGGGUCGGGAAAGGAGCCAUUCAAUUAAGGUCGUACGGCCGCUCGGCGGCUCCAGGCCUGAGCUGCGCAUCUCGGAGCUUCGGAGAUGACUGACCGAGAGUUUCCUCAGGUCCUGUCUCCCACAAGGCUGUCCGUCUGCUCUUGUCCUGCGAGGGCUGGUCUGAAAGCUGCCCCAGGCAGGGGUCCUCAAAGUUCAGUUCUGCAAAUGUUUAACGCGCGCCCAGCUCUGUGCCGAGGGUCCAAAGAUGACACCCCUGCCCCCAAGGGGCCCCCAGUCCAGCAAAGGAGACGGAGACAGACAGUUCCAGACGGUGCUCGCGAGUCCCAAUUCCCAGAUACAAAACCAGCAGCUAAUUUCACCCACAAAAAUGCAAUAAAAUAGCAAAAAAACGUAGGCAGCCUCUGGAGCCAUUAAUGAUUCUAUCAAUACAGACUUAAAGUAACCGGAAAGGCGGUUUUCUGGGUACCGAACGUCUGUUCCUACCUUCCCCUGCUCUGGCUCUCCGCCCUGGGUGGGCUUCUGCGGGGCCAUUUUUCACAAAGGAAGCCAAAAGGCACACACACGAGUGUGACACCCAGAGAGCCUCUGCGGACAGUGAAGGAGGUGUAGACGUUGGGAGUUAGUGUACAGAUCCCUGCUCCAGCCCGGCGGCUGUGUGACGGAGGCCCCUCAACCGACCUGGAGGCGCGUGGGUUCCACAGCCGUAGAAGGGGGGUUGAAUGGGACCCACACUUGGAUCACCUUGAGGAACACCCAAGCCAGCCUUGGGAACGCACCAAGGCAGGGAGGCCACACACAGGCUGGGGCCAGACGCCUCGGAGUGGGCAUGGCAGGGGCCGUGGGAUGUGGCCACUGUGCAUCAGCGGGCCCAGCUAGCUGCUCCUCAGCAUGCCCGAGUACUGGACACAGUGGUGGUGGCUCCAGACUGAGCCCCUUGAGCGCAUUACCUCAUUUGGUCACCUCAGCAAUCCUGCUACUCAGGCUGGGGGCAGUCAGGUAACCCCCAGCAAGCCUCGGAGGCACGCUGGCAGUGCUGACCGCCUUGUCAUGCUCACGGACCAGGCUCAUAGACCACGGGGCAAUGACUGGAGCAACGACCCUGUCAAGGAGCCAUGAGGCCACGCGUUCAGGAGGAAAUUGCAAAGAACCCUCUGGUGCUCGUCUCCAACACCACACGGCUGAAGCCUCAUGCCCUCGCUGACUGUUCUCUCCGCCUGGCACACUGGCCCCAGGUGUUCACCUGGCUGAUUUCUUCUCCACCUGCAG